Oreochromis niloticus (Nile tilapia) is the source of this 293-nucleotide long non-coding RNA. RefSeq lists it as uncharacterized. NCBI's taxonomy places the organism in Eukaryota, Metazoa, Chordata, Actinopteri, Cichliformes, Cichlidae. The transcript is spliced from 3 exons. The record is from RefSeq and is a predicted model, not a curated record.
CUGCUGUCUGCACUGACUGUUUCUGCAGUUCUAGUCUUUGUGCCUCCUUAUCCUCCGGUGCGGCCGGUCGUACAUUUAAUGGUCUUCCUUCCGUACGCCGUCUCCACGCUGGUGAUGCUGUCGAUUGAGAGCAGACUGAAUGCAGGAUGUCCUCUGGUUGUCUCCAUGGAGACGCCCCUGCUUGAUGAAGAAACUCAGGAAUUCGGCGAAGACUAUGAUGACAUCGCUGCUGAUGUCACCACCGAGCAUGAGUUCUGAUCUACAGCGAGCGACGGCGCUGCAUUCAGACUGGA